UUUAGAGAGGAUGAGGAAGGACAGUACUCUCUGAAUAAGCCUCGGCUAACUACGUGCCAGCAGCCGCGGUAAAACGUAGGAGGCGAGCGUUAUCCGGAUUUACUGGGCGUAAAGCGCGUGUAGGCGGUCUGACAAGUUGGAUGUGAAAGCUCCUGGCUUAACUGGGAGAGGUCGUUCAAAACUGUUAGACUUGAGAGUGGUAGAGGGAGGUGGAAUUCCGGGUGUAGUGGUGAAAUGCGUAGAUAUCCGGAGGAACACCAGUGGCGAAAGCGGCCUCCUGGACCAUUUCUGACGCUCAGACACGAAAGCUAAGGUAGCAAACGGGAUUAGAGACCCCGGUAGUCUUAGCUGUAAACGAUGUGAACUAGGUGUCGGUGGGUUCAAAUCCAUCGGUACCGAAGCUAACGCGAUAAGUUCACCGCCUGGGGACUACGGCCGCAAGGUUAAAACUCAAAGGAAUUGACGG
Molecule: ribosomal RNA, 466 nt
Filed under: uncultured bacterium
Lineage: Bacteria
Description: bacterial SSU rRNA
Rfam family: Bacterial small subunit ribosomal RNA
Source: RNAcentral